This 683-nucleotide ribosomal RNA is filed under the name Reticulitermes speratus. RNAcentral's name for it is "partial 16S ribosomal RNA". The stretch from base 342 to 504 matches the Rfam family "Archaeal large subunit ribosomal RNA", at positions 1883 to 2090 of the family's 2987-position model. Lineage: Eukaryota; Metazoa; Arthropoda; Insecta; Blattodea; Rhinotermitidae. The record is from RNAcentral.
UUAGGGGUUUCUGGUUUUUCAAGAAAUGAAUUUAAUUCAUGCGUCUUAUUUAGAGUUUUAUUAUUUGUUUAUUUAUUUUUAUUUGGCGUUAAGAUUGGGGGGGAUUAGCUUCUUAUUUUAUUUUUAUAAUUUUUUGUUUAUUUAGUCUUGUGGGUUUUAUAGUGAUUUUCAAUUUGAUUAUGUUAAAAUUUUAUUUGUUUUGUUCUUUAUUUUUAUUUAUUUAAUUAUUUAUUGAAAUGUAUUCUUUAUUUUGUUUUGGUUAGUAAUUAUUGUAGAAUUAGUAAAUUUGUUGUUAGGUUGUUUUAUUUGUGUUAAUUUUCUUUGAGGAACUAGGCAAAUUUCAUGCCCGCCUGUUUAACAAAAACAUCUUUUCUCGUUAGUUUUUGAAGUAUGGUCUGCCCACUGACUUUGGUGUUGAAGGGCCGCGGUAUUUUGACCGUGCAAAGGUAGCAUAGUCAUUAGUUCUUUAAUUGUGAUCUGGUAUGAAUGGCUUGACGAGGCAUGGGCUGUCUUAAUUUUGAAUUGUUUAUUGAAUUUGGUCUUUGAGUUAAAAUUCUUAGAUGUUUUUAUGGGACGAGAAGACCCUAUAGAGUUUAACAUUUGUUAUGGUCCCUUUCUGUUUGUGAGGGUUCACUGGGCCGUCUAAUAUGUUUUGUUGGGGUGAUGGGAGGGAUAUAAUUUAA